ACGCUCGACACCUACGGAGGCAGCAGUGGGGAAUAUUGGGCAAUGGGCGCAAGCCUGACCCAGCAACGCCGCGUGAAGGAUGAAGGCUUUCGGGUUGUAAACUUCUUUUAUCAGGGACGAAACAAAUGACGGUACCUGAUGAAUAAGCCACGGCUAACUACGUGCUAGCAGCCGCGGUAAUCUGAGCGGGCUGGCAAGGC
This 200-nucleotide ribosomal RNA is filed under the name uncultured bacterium. Its description in RNAcentral is "partial 16S ribosomal RNA". It matches the Rfam family "Bacterial small subunit ribosomal RNA", at positions 328 to 539 of the family's 1533-position model. The record is from RNAcentral.